UCAUUUUGUUCGUAAAUCCAUAUAGCACACACAGGAAUGUAUUUCUUCAAUGGACUACACUUACCAUCAACACUGAUUGGACAUCCACGUAAAAGUGGU
This is a long non-coding RNA of Etheostoma cragini (Arkansas darter), 99 nucleotides long. RefSeq lists it as uncharacterized. Lineage: Eukaryota; Metazoa; Chordata; Actinopteri; Perciformes; Percidae. The record is from RefSeq and is a predicted model, not a curated record. The transcript is spliced from 3 exons.